UAUCCGCCGUCUCAUCAAAAUUUGAAAGAGGUUUUUUUGUUGUAUCAAAAAACAUACUAUUUGAAACUAUUCAGUUGUCAAUGUUGAAAGAAAAAAUAUCGUAAAAAUGCCAGUGGAAGAAAUUCGCGGAAGCCAAUAAACUACCCACAACUGUGCUAGCAACCUUAGCAACAGUACUGUGGUCUGAAAGAAGAUUUAUCCUACAUCAUAUGCAAAAAAGGAGUAGAUACACUUUUUGUUUCUAAGAAAAGAUGGAAUAUUAAGAGUGGCGCUUUGAAUAAUCAAAACUAGUUUCAGUGAUUUACUAUGGUCUUCCAUAAGUCAAUUUGAAUUCAUCAUCAUUCUCCUGCCCUUCUCCCAGUCACCUGGAGUCGGCGCAACAUGUUUUCUCCUUCCAUACUCCUCUAUCAUAUAUCAUUUCUUAGCUAUCUCCCCUCUUACAUAUAUCAUCUUUCGCGCAAUCUAUCCAUUUUUUAGGUCAACCUCUUACUCUAAAGUCGCAAGCCUUCAUAGUUAAAACUAUCUCAACAACGACGAUGACAAUGAGGUCAUUUUUCAUAAGUCGAUUUGAAUUAUUAGUUUACAACUUUUUUUUUAAUUAUUAUUUAUUUAGUUAUAAAAUGUAUAAAUUAGCGGAAUUAGUAGAAUAAUGGGCAGACUUUCAGGCAACACGUGUAAGUGCAACUAUUCUGCAAAUUUCUAUCACUUCCCUCAUGCGUUUACUAUAUAUUUAUGAUUCUGAUACGCACUGCAUACUACACCGGAGACUUUUAUCUCGUGUUUAAAGUUUUUAUAUUCUGGUCUAUAGACCCAGGCAAGUACUUAACAUCGGAUAUCCUUUCGUCAAUCCGAUUAACCAUUUUCAGAAUCAAUUAAAAAUUCUAUUUCACAAGUAAAUUGUUAUUACUAACUCGCAUCAUAAUGAUUCAAUAGGAAUCAAUGAACUUAAUACCUACUUUUCAAUGGCUCCAACCAAAGUAAUUUUUUCUUGCUUCACUCUUCACUCAGAUUGAUCGUGGAGCACUUAAUAAAAUAAUUCCAUACUUUUUACUGUCACGAAAGUAGGACAAAGUACUGCGUGCAGAGCAAUAAAAAGUGUAUGAAUAAAAA
Bombyx mori (domestic silkworm) is the source of this 1110-nucleotide long non-coding RNA. RefSeq lists it as uncharacterized. The transcript has 2 exons. Lineage: Eukaryota; Metazoa; Arthropoda; Insecta; Lepidoptera; Bombycidae. The record is from RefSeq and is a predicted model, not a curated record.